RNAcentral lists this ribosomal RNA (886 nucleotides) under uncultured bacterium. RNAcentral's name for it is "bacterial SSU rRNA". It matches the Rfam family "Bacterial small subunit ribosomal RNA", at positions 8 to 853 of the family's 1533-position model. The record is from RNAcentral.
AGAGUUUGAUCAUGGCUCAGGACGAACGCUGGCGGCGUGCCUAAUACAUGCAAGUCGAGCGAGCUUGCCUAGAUGAUUUUGGUGCUUGCACUAAAUGAAACUAGAUACAAGCGAGCGGCGGACGGGUGAGUAACACGUGGGUAACCUGCCCAAGAGACUGGGAUAACACCUGGAAACAGAUGCUAAUACCGGAUAACAACACUAGACGCAUGUCUAGAGUUUGAAAGAUGGUUCUGCUAUCACUCUUGGAUGGACCUGCGGUGCAUUAGCUAGUUGGUAAGGUAACGGCUUACCAAGGCAAUGAUGCAUAGCCGAGUUGAGAGAUUGAUCGGCCACAUUGGGACUGAGACACGGCCCAAACUCCUACGGGAGGCAGCAGUAGGGAAUCUUCCACAAUGGACGAAAGUCUGAUGGAGCAACGCCGCGUGAGUGGAGAAGGGUUUCGGCUCGUAAAGCUCUGUUGGUAGUGAAGAAAGAUAGAGGUAGUAACUGGCCUUUAUUUGACGGUAAUUACUUAGAAAGUCACGGCUAACUACGUGCCAGCAGCCGCGGUAAUACGUAGGUGGCAAGCGUUGUCCGGAUUUAUUGGGCGUAAAGCGAGUGCAGGCGGUUCAAUAAGUCUGAUGCGAAAGCCUUCGGCUCAACCGGAGAAUUGCAUCAGAAACUGUUGAACUUGAGUGCAGAAGAGGAGAGUGGAACUCCAUGUGUAGCGGUGGAAUGCGUAGAUAUAUGGAAGAACACCAGUGGCGAAGGCGGCUCUCUGGUCUGCAACUGACGCUGAGGCUCGAAAGCAUGGGUAGCGAACAGGAUUAGAUACCCUGGUAGUCCAUGCCGUAAACGAUGAGUGCUAAGUGUUGGGAGGUUUCCGCCUCUCAGUGCUGCAGCU